This 358-nucleotide transfer-messenger RNA is filed under the name Desulfobacteraceae. RNAcentral's name for it is "Desulfobacula sp018821535 Standard tmRNA". It matches the Rfam family "transfer-messenger RNA". From Rfam's summary of the family: Bacterial tmRNA, also known as 10Sa RNA or SsrA, is named for its dual tRNA and mRNA-like properties. RNAcentral also lists the same sequence under 1 other name. Lineage: Bacteria; Pseudomonadati; Thermodesulfobacteriota; Desulfobacteria; Desulfobacterales. The record is from RNAcentral.
GGGGGCGAAAUGGCUUCGACGGAGAUUUUGAGGCCUGUGGUAGCAUACCGAGUCUUUUGUCAGCUCGUAAACUUGGCAGAACAUAAAGAUAAUCGCAGACGAUUAUAACUACGCUGUAGCUGCUUAAGGCGGCUUCCGUCCUGCUGGAAUCCUUCCUGUAGAUUCCAGACCAGGGCGUCGACUAUACAGGAUCGCUUUUUAAGGGCGUCUGAACCUUGAAGGCUAAACUUUUCAGACUAUACUGUUCAGUAUCCAUCUCAAAGGAGACAGAACAAUGAACAUUAAAUUUUGAGAUAAGUAUGUAGAAGCCUGGGUUGAUCGUUUUCGGACGCGGGUUCAACUCCCGCCGCCUCCACCA